Molecule: ribosomal RNA, 549 nt
Filed under: fungal yeast sp. Urf816
Lineage: Eukaryota; Fungi
Description: eukaryotic LSU rRNA
Rfam family: Eukaryotic large subunit ribosomal RNA
Source: RNAcentral
UAAGCGGAGGAAAAGAAACUAACAAGGAUUCCCCUAGUAGCGGCGAGCGAAGCGGGAAGAGCUCAAAUUUAUAAUCUGGCACCUUCGGUGUCCGAGUUGUAAUCUCUAGAAGUGUUUUCCGCGUUGGACCGCACACAAGUCUGUUGGAAUACAGCGGCAUAGUGGUGAAACCCCCGUAUAUGGUGCGGACGCCCAGCGCUUUGUGAUACACUUUCAAUGAGUCGAGUUGUUUGGGAAUGCAGCUCAAAUUGGGUGGUAAAUUCCAUCUAAAGCUAAAUAUUGGCGAGAGACCGAUAGCGAACAAGUACCGUGAGGGAAAGAUGAAAAGCACUUUGGAAAGAGAGUUAACAGUACGUGAAAUUGUUGGAAGGGAAACGCUUGAAGUCAGACUUGCUUGCCGGAGCUUGCUUCGGUUUGCAGGCCAGCAUCAGUUUUCCGGGGUGGAUAAUGACGGUUUGAAGGUAGCAGUCUCGGCUGUGUUAUAGCUUUCCGUUGGAUACAUCCUGGGGGACUGAGGAACGCAGCGUGCUUUUUGCGAAAGACUCGUCU